ACCAAAUCAGUAUCUUGGUCUUUUCAAUGCAACUAACAACGGAAUAAGUUCAAAUCAUGUUAUUGCAGUAGAGCUUGACACAGACCAAGAUUUCCAGUUUGAUGACAUAGAUGAUAACCAUUUGGGGAUUGAUAUUAAUGGCUUGGUCUCCGUGAAAUCUCUUCCUGCUGGGUACCAUAGUGAUGAUUGGCAUUUCAAAGAGCUAGUUCUCAAAAGUGGAAAACCACUGCAGGUCUGGGUUGAAUAUGAGAGC
This 253-nucleotide unclassified non-coding RNA is filed under the name Hevea brasiliensis (rubber tree). Lineage: Eukaryota; Viridiplantae; Streptophyta; Magnoliopsida; Malpighiales; Euphorbiaceae. The record is from RNAcentral.